AUUGAACGCUGGCGGCAGGCCUAACACAUGCAAGUCGAGCGGAUGAAGGGAGCUUGCUCCUGGAUGCAGCGGCCGACGGGCGAGUAAUGCCUAGGAAUCUGCCUGGUAGUGGGGGAUAACGUCCGGAAACGGGCGCUAAUACCGCAUACGUCCUGAGGGAGAAAGGGGGGGAUCUUCGGACCACACGCUAUUAGAUGAGCCUAGGUCGGAUUAGCUAGUUGGUGGGGUAAAGGCCUACCAAGGCGACGAUCCGUAACUGGUCUGAGAGGAUGAUCAGUCACACUGGAACUGAGACACGGUCCAGACUCCUACGGGAGGCAGCAGUGGGGAAUAUUGGACAAUGGGCGAAAGCCUGAUCCAGCCAUGCCGCGUGUGUGAAGAAGGUCUUCGGAUUGUAAAGCACUUUAAGUUGGGAGGAAGGACAGUAAGUUAAUACCUUGCUGUUUUGACGUUACCAACAGAAUAAGCACCGGCUAACUUCGUG
This 484-nucleotide ribosomal RNA is filed under the name uncultured bacterium. RNAcentral's name for it is "partial 16S ribosomal RNA". It matches the Rfam family "Bacterial small subunit ribosomal RNA", at positions 30 to 507 of the family's 1533-position model. The record is from RNAcentral.